ACCCAAUUACUUGUAAUGAAAAAUACAAAUUAAAAAUUAUUGAAUGAUGUAUUCUCAUUGUUUUCCUUAUCGAGGACAUUGGUGCAAUAUUUGUUACUGUACAGUAUUUGUCAUUGAGUAACUUGCAUAAUUAGUACCACAAACUCUUAACAAAAAUCCCCUUUUUUUGAAAUUUAGUAUAUAAGCAUUUCAAGAUUUAUACAUAUCCAGUGUCUCCUCGAAGACGAUUCAUACAAGAUGAAAUUCUUCCUUUUUACUUUCUUUGCCAUCCUCCUAGUUGGUACUUUUGUCAGUUCUUCAUCAGCAUCGCUUGAGGAUGAAGAAGCUCAAGACUCUUUGAUUCGUACAAGGAGAGCCAGUUGUAAUGAAAGAGAUUGUAAACUUGAUUGUUUGAAGAAUAUUUGGUACGUCAAAGGAAGAUGUGAAAAUGGAGAAUGCGAAUGCUACAGAUAACUUUAAUA
Aethina tumida (small hive beetle) is the source of this 461-nucleotide long non-coding RNA. RefSeq lists it as uncharacterized. The transcript has 2 exons. The record is from RefSeq and is a predicted model, not a curated record. NCBI's taxonomy places the organism in Eukaryota, Metazoa, Arthropoda, Insecta, Coleoptera, Nitidulidae.